UACAUGGGGUGCAAACGUUGCUCGGAAUUAUUGGGCGUAAAGCGCACGUAGGCGGUUCGUUAAGUCGGAUGUGAAAGCCCUCGGCUCAACUGAGGAAGUGCACCCGAAACUGGCGAGCUUGAGUACGAAAGAGGAUCGCGGAAUUCCCGGUGUAGAGGUGAAAUUCGUAGAUAUCGGGGAGGAACACCGGUGGCGAAGGCGGCGAUCUGGGUCGAUACUGACGCUGAGGUGGCGAAAAGCGUGGGGAGCAACAGG
Molecule: ribosomal RNA, 255 nt
Filed under: uncultured bacterium
Lineage: Bacteria
Description: partial 16S ribosomal RNA
Rfam family: Bacterial small subunit ribosomal RNA
Source: RNAcentral